Molecule: long non-coding RNA, 4065 nt
Filed under: Nicotiana tabacum (common tobacco)
Lineage: Eukaryota; Viridiplantae; Streptophyta; Magnoliopsida; Solanales; Solanaceae
Description: long non-coding RNA (NTAB_LNC012884)
Source: RNAcentral
AGAUAUCAGAUCCGUCGUUUCAUAGGAGACCCCACUCCCUUGUAUUUCAUCUUCUUCGAACCCUACACCCCUGAAACCAACGUCCCUUUUCUCCUUCAGCGCACCCAGCGACCAGAACUCCCCACAGUUGUUUCUUCUUAUUCUCACCAUCAAGACCACCAAAAAAUCCUAGAAAGUUAGAAGCUGCAGCAGCAGCCCCUCCCCGUCGCCAUCACACUCACCUCGCCGGAAACCACCCAACCAACAGCAGCUCCCCAAAAACCAGACCCCUAAUUACGAGCUGACCCUUUCUUCUCCAACAAAAAAAACCCUAAAACAAAAAUGAAAAAACAUCUAAGAACAAAAAGAGAAGGAACAACUGUUUCUUUUAGGAGCUGAAACCUUUCUUCUUAACGGACAUUAGCCAUUUUUGAUCUUUCUUUAACUCCAAAGAGAACCAACAGCCACGCUUCUUCGAACAAAGCUUUAGCCACAGGACAUAGUAUAAUCUCUUUACUGCCGGAAUUCGACGAGGCCAAACCCAGUCGCUACUUCUGCUUCUUCCUAAUCUAAACAACCCGCUUCUGCCCUGUUUUUGGUUUCUAGAUCUAGCCGGUUUUACAUUUUUUGGUGAUUUCCAUUGAAACUAGUGGAGUUUUGUUUGAGUCGAGUUUUUCCGGUUCGAGGUUCGGAUCAAUAGCUCGUUUGCUUUUGAUUUGCUGUUCUUGAGAUCUUACUUCAUUGUUCAUGGCAUGAAAUACGCAGCAAUAAAGGUUCAUUUUCCUUUCCGAUAUUGUUCUGCUCGCUAAUGUUUUGGAUCGUUUUGUAUUUGAUUUAAUUUGUAUGAUUUGGAUGAUUUUUGUUUAUUAGUUUUCUAUGUUGGGACAUUGCGCUGUUUAUUACGUUGAAUUUUCCUUUAAUUUCUAUUUUUUGUCAUUACUUUGUUGUUAGAGUUCUGUUGAAUAUGGGAUUUCACAAUUAAUGGUGGCCUUGCAGUGUCAAAAUUAGUUAAUAAAAUAACUAAUCUUUCAUAUGCUCACCAAUUAGUUAUGAUUUCGUUGUUUGUGUAAUUGUUUCUCCGUAGUUUCGAAUUUGCUCACUUAGUUAUUUGCUCGUAUGUUUACUCGAAUUUGUUAUAGCUGAACAUAAUUUUGUCACAGUAUAGAAAUUGGGCUGUUAUUCUUCAACUGAAUUAUGUCAAAUUAGAUUAAAGGGGCUCGGGUGCUAAAGUUUAUGAAAUCGAGCUCUUAAUUGUCUAUCGCUAUGUUACUUACCUAUAUUCGCUAAUAGCAUGUUUUAGACCGUUAAUAUUCAUAAUUAGUGUAGAAAACACUUUGAACGCUCGUAGAUUGCUUUAGGCGCGAUUAAUAAUAAAAUCAUCGUGAUUACGGAUAUGAUUCCCGUGGCAUGAUCAUGAAACCUAAUUCCCAAAUUCGGGUGUGCAUUUCAUGUGACCCGAUCAUAACAGCUUCGAACUUUAAUAAAAAUAAAUAUAUCACGAAUUACGGGUGCAUUUCAUGUAGCGUGAUUUUCGGUGUUUCCCAAAAUGACAAGUGUACGACAAUCGUAAUUUGUUCAAGAAAUAAUUUCAUAAAUCCUAAAAAGCAGUUUAAAAUAAUUAAAAAGCAUUUAUAAAGUUAAAAAUGCACAACAUGUUUUUAAACAUGUAGUAAAUCAUAUAAUAGGCCAAUUAUUAAUAGUUUAAGCGAUCAUGCUAGAACCACGGAACCCGGGAAUGCCUAACACCUUCUUCCGGAUUAACAGAAUUCCUUAUUUAGAAUUUCUGGUUUCGCAGACUUUUAAAUAAAGUCAAAAUUCUCCUUGAUUUGGGAUUUAAAAUAAACCGGUGACUUGGGACACCAAAUUAUCCCAAGUGGUGACUCUCUAAUUAAAUAAAAUAAUCUCAUUUUGAAUAAUGUCACUUUAAUUGGAAAAACUCCCUUAUAUACCCCCUCGGGUGGUAAAAAGGAAGUGUGACAACGAUACGCCAAAAAGAGGGGUGAAUCUGACCGAGGGUGACUUCGUAUGUUUUGUAGAAGUCGACCACCACCGGAUAGAGGCGACCCAGUGUGAAGGGGUAAGUGUAAACACUUAAAACUCCCUCCACGUAGGUAGUAAUGCUUUCAAGGGGGCUCGAGAUCUGAACCUCGACCUCAUCUCCCCAGCCACAAUCCUUCUUUACAUCCUUCAUAAGCUUCUUCGUUAUCAAGCUAAUAUAUUGAGAUGUGUGAUCGCAUCGGCCUGGGACGUCGGGAGGAUUCUUAAUACUAAAGUCCUUUUUAAUAAUACAAGGACCGGGGGUGAUUUCCUCAAGUGUUGGCGGCACCACCGGUUUGACCGGACGGGAGGUAGAAGAAGACGAUGCCUUAUCCUUUUUAGGGACCGUUUUGGAAGUUUUAGCAAUGGUUGUAAGCUAAAGAAUAUGGGUUGUGCAGGGAUGUGAUAGUUCUUAUAAAAGCUUGGUGUUUUUUGGCGCUUGAAGAGGCGGUAGAAACGAGUAAUUAGAGAAAGAGAUGAGGAUGAUAAAGAUGUAAAGAAAGAAUAAAUUUCUUUACUUAGAGGAAUCGCCCGUAUUUAUAGAUUGGCAAUGACGGUUCGGCGGCGCUAGUGGCCGACCAAUACUAGAGUGCAUUCAAUGUUUUGGGAAAAUGGACCGACGGGACGUUUCGGUCACUACAAAUGCCUGCAUCACGGAAACGACAUCAUCAUAAGAGGUUCGAGAAAAUUGGGGUUCAAAUAUUUUCUUAUCAUCUUACUCUAAGAAACGUGGGGACUAUCUGUACACGGUUGAUAUCGAGUGCCUUCGAUCUAGAUACUUAAGAGGUCGUCCGAAGAUCAAGUCCGGAUAAGACCAAGUUCGAGCUCGAGGGACCAAACCCGAGGUCGAAGGCGAAGCAUGAUGCAUACGGAGGUCGGGUGUGCUCAACCUCAAAAUAGUACCAUUAUGGAUUUGUACCAGAACAAGUUAGAUUCCUUCCAUGUCCCCAAAGUCAUGGCGCAAAUCCCGGAAUAUGAUUGUACUAUUCCGUACUAGGCAGUUAGACAGUUGUACCAAGAAUAUUCCUUACUGUAAAUAGAAAUAUUCCUUAUUUUGGGCUCCCUUAUUAUAUAAAGGGGAGCUCAAUCAUUUGUAAGAUAUUUGAUCAUCACUGAGAAAAGAAUAUACUCUCUACCUUUUUGCCUAUUGCUCAUCAGCAUUGUCUUUUAGCUCCAUUGUUCUUGCUUUAUCUUUAUUACUUAAUUGUUCUUACUGCCUUAAGCUACCUCGAUGUCACUGAGCUCGAGGCCACUGCUGCUAAGUAAUAUUGGUUUGGUUCACUUCUAUCUUUCAUUUCUACUUCAUAUCUCUUGGUUAUUAAUUGGUAUUGAACUAAAUCACAUAUCUUUAAAAUUGCUAAUCAAAUUUAAUUGUUACUCGUAUUUUCCACGUAAAUAAUAUUUUUCAUUUGGAGUAUUACUUGAUAUUACCUUCGCUUACUUAAUAAAGAAGUCAUUUAGCAUCUUGCAUAUUGUGUUCUCAUAUAGUAUCAUAUAAAAUGAGAUGAAGAAAGUUUUAUUUGAAUCAUUAGAAAAAGAAAAAACAAAAAAUAUUCAAAUUUUAGUUUUCUAGUUGAAAUAGUUAUUGAAAAGUCAGAUUUAUAUAGAAAAAUUACAUUAAAAAUUUAAAAUAAAUUAUUAAAUGAGUUUAAACUUCUUGAAAAUUUAUAUGACAUUAUAAAUCAUAUAAUGAUAAUGUUAUACACCUUUUAAAAUUUUCAAACUAGAAAUUACUCUAAAAAUCUUACUCUUAAGAGCCCUAAAAUUCAUACAACUCUUGGACAGGGAUAGCCUUAUUUUUUAGGUUGGUACUGCUAAUCCAAGUCCAGUAGAAGAUAUAUCCAAAGUACCAGCUAGACAUAUAAGCACGCGUUGUCCACGCGCUUCCCGUGGGAAAACUGGGUUAAAAAAGCUUCCAUUCAUUUUCCUGCAAAAGGCAGUUGGAGAUAAACUGUCAUAUAUAGACGGCAACCUCGUAUUUUCAAAAAGUCAUUUGUAACUCUCUCUCUCUCUCCCUACAGGAUCUGAAAACGUAUUAUAACUCCAAAG